UGCAACAUGGACCCUCGUAGAAGACACUU
Molecule: non-coding RNA, 29 nt
Filed under: Macaca fascicularis (crab-eating macaque)
Lineage: Eukaryota; Metazoa; Chordata; Mammalia; Primates; Cercopithecidae
Also listed under: 1 other name
Source: RNAcentral